Molecule: non-coding RNA, 82 nt
Organism: Chelonoidis abingdonii (Abingdon island giant tortoise)
Lineage: Eukaryota; Metazoa; Chordata; Testudines; Testudinidae
Source: the annotation of a RefSeq genome assembly
GAUGAGGUGACUGAGUGGUUAAGGUGGUGGACUGCUAAUCCAUUGUGCUCUGUACACGUGGGGUCAAAUCCCAUCCUCAUCA